Molecule: long non-coding RNA, 5034 nt
Organism: Aedes albopictus (Asian tiger mosquito)
Lineage: Eukaryota; Metazoa; Arthropoda; Insecta; Diptera; Culicidae
Exons: 3
Source: RefSeq, a predicted model, not a curated record
UUUGCUCAAACAGCAUCAAAUUAGGCAAGGAAUCAUAAUACCCUCGCUUUUUGCACCAUUUCAUUGCAGAAAAGGAGAACUGACCUUCUCACCAUACUAAAAUUCAGCUCAUCACUACAAAUCUAGUACUUCACCGAUCUGUCCUAUUGACAAAUUGUAAUAUGCUUCAUAAGAAUUCGUAUUUGAUUUUCUCUUUGUUUUCUUAGAAUAUGAAAGCAAUGGGUAAAACCUGCACUGUGGGUAAACACGACGUCCUAUGAAUCCACAUGCAAUUAAAUGCGAGCCACACACUGUUUGUUUUAUUUAUCUAUAUAUAUAUAUAACUUGCGAACGGAUGGUCCGAUUUGUGUCGUCUAAGUUUUGUUCUGUUAGUUUUCACCCAAGGCAGGUUUAUGAGGCCUAAAACAUGGGAAAAUUGAGAGUUUUUGAAAAUCGGGUUUUCAUACAUUUUGAACGGGACUUGGGCACUUGGCUAGGGACUUGAAACGUCAAAAAACGCAGUAGGCAAACAAACCAAAUUUAAGUUGUAUACUAAGCUCAUUACGAAGGAUUUUAGCGAAUGAAGGACCUUAUAUCAAUGCACAAUGGGUCCAGAGCCAGAUGUAAAUCCUCUUCCUUAAUAUACUGUGUGUUGUAAGUGACCAUUGCACAAUGGGUCCAGAGCCGCAUUUACGAAGACAAAAAUGUUUGUGCCUAAAUCUUAAGUUUUAGAUACAUGGUGUCUUUGGGAAAGUUUUUUUCAUAUUUUUCGACCUUUUUUCUCAUCAUUGUAAAAUUAGGGUGGUCCCUCUAGUUUAGCUGAUCCAAACAUCUGCUUUUUAAUAGUUUUAUGUACGCUUACAAAAUGUUCUACAAAGUUGUAAAAGAACUUAUUUGGAGCAAGUUUGCCGAAGAAACCAUUAUUCUAUAUCUUAUGGUUCCUAACUUAUAGUUUUUUAAAAGAAUCAUGUUAGGGUGAUCCAUGAAAUUCAGUUUUCUUGCAAUAACUUUUAAUCCAUUCGAUUCUCGUAAAAACGUUGUUCCGAGCACUUUUAGAACUAUCAAUGACGCAUAUUUUUUCCAAAGAGCUCAAUGUUCUAUCUCUCACAAUUAAAAAAAUAUUGGCUUUUUUCUUCAAAAAAUCACUUUUUUUUUCAAAAAGUCAUACAUCGAAAAGAAGCAAAUGAAUUUUCAAUCGCCGAAUUGCAUUGAAAAGAUCGGUCUCUAUUAUAUUAAUGGUGAAAAAUUGUGGGUACCUUUUUUGUUUGGAACUUUUUAUUAAAUUUAAAAAAUACGGUUUUUUGGAUAGAAAAUCAGUUGUAACUCUUAAAAUCGAUGAGAUACAAACUUGGUGUCUUCGACAAUAUUUUAAGUUUUAAGAUGCUCUGAAAGUGCUCAGAACAAAGUAUAGCGAAAAAAUCAACGCAUAACAUAAUAAUGAAUAAAAACGGAUUUUCAUAGGGUAUCGCGCCACUUGGGCGGUGGCUUCUAUAUUCGUCUGUUUUCCACUAUAACUCAGUCAAUUUUGAACCAAUUGACUUGAAAAGUUGUACACGGGUAGAUACUAUACCUAUCUCACCACAUUCCAAAAGUUGCAUCAAUUGGUUCAAAUUUGACUGAGUUAUAGUGGAAAACAGACGAAUAUAGAAGCCACCGCCCAAGUGGCGCGAUUCCCUAUGGAAAACAAAACAAUUCAAGAAAAUUCAAAUCGUCUUUGUUAGAUAGAUCGAAGUAACCAUGUCAAAAAAGUUUAAACUUAUUUAUAUUCUACAUUCCGUCAAUGGACUCAACUUAAAAAGGGAUUUUAAGCUAAUUUCCAUCAAUUAAAUUUUAAUUUUAUCUAUUUAAUUCAUGGAUAGCGAAAAUGUGAAUCUCUGGUAAAUAUUGAUGUUAUCGCAAAGGCCUAUCAAAGUCACAUAGUUCACAAUAUCUUACCAACAUUGUGCCUUAAUGGUGAUUACAGUAAAAAUAAACAUUGGAUCUAAAAUGAAAUGGAUGACCAUUCAUCAAGCUACUUUGAUCUAUCUAGCAGUGACGAAUUGAAUUUGCUUGAACUGUUUCGUUUUUCAUAUGAAAAUCCGUUUUUAUUCAAUAUAAUUUUAUGCGUUGAUUUUUCGCUAUACUUUGUUCUGAGCACUUUCAGAGUAUCUAAAAACUCACAAUAUUGUCGAAAACGCCAAGUUUGAAUCUCAUCGAUUUGAGGAGUUACAACUGAUUUUCUAUGUAAAAAAUCGCGUUUUUAAAAUUCAUUAAAAAACUUCAAACAAAAAAGGUACUCACAAUGUUUUUCACCAUUAAUAGAACAGAGUACGAUCUUUCAAAUGAAAUUCAGCGAUUGAAAAUCCAUUUGCUUCUUUUCGAUGACUUUUUGAAAAACAGUGAUUUUUUGAAGAAAAAAGUCAAUAUCUUUUUAACUGUGAGAGAUAGAACAUUGAGCUCUUUGGAAAAAUAUGCGCAAUUGAUAGUUCUAAAAGUGCUCGGAACAACGUUUUUUACGAGAAACGAAUGGAUUAAAAGUUAUUGCAAGAAAACUGAAUUUCAUGGAUCACCCUAACAUGAUUCUUUAAAAAACUAUAAGUUAGGACCCGCAUAACAAAUUACAAUUUGCCUUAAUCUCCACACAAUAAAUAUCUUGUAUGUGUUAAUGUUAAUAUACCACACACAGUUGCUUUCAUGUUCAACAAUAUGAAGGUCUGUGCAUUCGACUGUAUUCAAUGGUUUAAUUAACCCAUAGCAAGUGGUUACAAUGUAUUAUAUUGUGCAGUUAUUGUUAAGUUAUAUGAGGAUGAAUAUUUGCGAGAAAUGGUUGAAAAAUAGAAGCACAGUUUGUCAAAUGGUUUACAUUCAUAUUUGCACAACACACUGACACAUGUGCAUUCAACUACAUUUUACUAAAGUUGCACAAUAUGACAAACAGUUUCGUACAUUAGUAUUUGUGAUCGAUUGAAACUUGACCAGAGGAUCUACUCAACUACUUGCAGCUUGACAUUUUGCAAUAAAAAAAAGAAAAAAAAAGUAAUUUGUUUGGUCGCUGGUGUUUAAAUGCAGUUUCGGAAAAUCCGUUCCGGGAUACAUCUGAAACGGCAGAUUUUAUGCAUUUCGUUGUGCACAGAUUUUACCCAGAGCUCGACCCAGAGGCAUUCCCCGACAGAUCCAGCCCAGUAACUCCCAAUACCGAUGACCUGCGGCAGCUUUAACUUCAGCAUUGUUGAAAACCUCCGGUAGAACUAAAGGAGAAGAAGAGCGAUGUCGUUUAGCAAAAUGUUCAUACAUGGUUCCGAUUCUCGUCGCUCAACGGCCGGCAGAGAAAAGUGAACAAAAUGUGGCUCACUGCCAGCAUUCGUUGGAGCCGCAACAAUUGGUGGAGGAAUUGCAUCUAGUAGGAUGGGAGUGGCUGCUGGGCAUGAUGCUGGAGGUAAAUAACUAGUCUUGGAAUAGACGGUAAAUAGUUGAUGAAUAAAAAAUCUACAGAAAAUAAAACACAACCGCCUUUUUAUUUCUAAACGGUUGAAAUGCAGCAGAACCAUAUAUCAUAGGCUUAAAAUACCAUGAAAUACCAUUAAUCAAUAAUAUCACAUACAGUGCUCGUUUUCUCCCAGAUUUAUUGUGGAACUGUUGUCCAACCAUUUGCUAUGCAGUGAAUGGUCUGAAAAACUGGAUAAUAUAUUGACCGUAUCCUUUACUGUAUUGCGAAAAAUUUGUUCGAGAAAACGAGCGAUUUUUUAUGGUAACCUAUCUUAACCGCCUAUUCAACAUACUGUAAUUUGGCGGAUUACCAUUUGUCAAACUGGCAAAUCUGUACAUAGAAUGGUUGUCUUACUGUUAUCUUGGACAGCCUGAGAAAUGGUUACAUGACAAUUGCUAAUAGUUAUCCACAGUAUGAGAAACGUUGCAUUUACAGUUUGUGAUUAUGCGGGCGAACCAUAAGAUAUACACCCAAACCUCAUUUUACGUCCACUAUUGGCCUAGCUAAAUAAAAUUCUACUGCCAAUAUAAUAAUUAAAAUAGACAUUUUUAUAUUUUUGUACACUUCUCCUCAAUACGUAGAUGUUUUAAAAAAAUAUAAAAAUGUUGAGUUUGCUCAUUGUCUUGGCGGUUGAAUUUUUUGUCGCUUAGCCAUGCAUGGACGUAAAAAAAGUACGAGGUGUAGAAUAAUGGUUUCUUCGGCAAACUUGCUCCAAGUAAGUUCUUUUACAACUUUGUAGAACAUUUUGUAAGCGUACACAAAACUAUUAGAAAGCAGAUGUUUGGAUCAGCUAAACUAGAGGGACCACCCUAAUUUCACAAUGGUGAGAAAAAAUAUCGAAAAAUAUGAAGAAACUUUCCCAAAGACACCAUGUAUCUAAAACUUAAGAUUUAGGCACAAACAUUUUUGUCUUCGUAAAUGCGGCUCUGGACCCAUUGUGCAAUGGUCACUUACAACACACAGUAUAUUAAGGAAGAGGAUUUACAUCAGAGCAUAUUUUUCACGUGAUUUUUCAUGUUUUCGUUAUAACUAAAUGGUUUAUUUAAUUUUAUGCAAUUCAGUAUUAUAAUUUCUAUUUUAUACUACUCAUUUCAGUAUCAUAAUGACUUACUUUUCCGUACCGGUUCAUUAUGCAACUGAAAUGAGUUGCAUAAUGAAAAAUAGUUGCAUAAUGUUCAUUAUGCAACUCAUUUGAGUUGCAUUAUGAACAUUAUGCAACUCAAAUGAGUUGUAUAAUGAAAAAAUCAUUGCAUAAAAUUUUGUAUGGAACUCGUUGCAAAACUCGAUUUUUUCAGCACUCUUCGUAUUUAUCCAACUCGGCAAGCCUCGUUGGAUAAAUGUACGACUCGUGCUGAAAAAAUCAACUUUUUGCAACUCGUUACAUAAAUAACUAUUAAAGUUCAAGAUCAGCAGAAGUAUAAUGAUUUACGUUAUCACACAGAAUCCAAUCGUUAAAACAUACAGAAAAAAAACUCUAAUGGCUGUAAAACACCACUCUGUUUAUUUUACCCACAAUUCCCCUUAACCAUUAAAGUUUGUAGAAGCAAAUCCGAUUUCGACAAGCCCUGCUUUCCAUAUAUCGUUACUGU